RNAcentral lists this ribosomal RNA (257 nucleotides) under uncultured bacterium. RNAcentral describes it as "partial 16S ribosomal RNA". It matches the Rfam family "Bacterial small subunit ribosomal RNA", at positions 524 to 776 of the family's 1533-position model. The record is from RNAcentral.
UACGUAGGGGGCUAGCGUUGUCCGGAUUUAUUGGGCGUAAAGAGCGUGUAGGCGGCCAUGUAGGUCCGGUGUGAAAAACUCGAGGCUUAACCUCGAGAUGUCAUCGGAAACCAUUUGGCUAGAGUCCGGAAGAGGAGAGUGGAAUUCCUGGUGUAGCGGUGAAAUGCGCAGAUAUCAGGAAGAACACCAAUGGCGAAAAGCAGCUCUCUGGGACGGUACUGACGCUGAGACGCGAAAAGCGUGGGGGAGCGAACAGG